UCCAACAGUGUUCCUAUGUUCUUUUUCAAGAAUUUGUUUUAAAGGUUUAGAACAUUAGAACAAUCUAAUUGGUGGUUUCUGCACUUUUGCACAUUUGGACAAUUUCUAACUGCAGAAUUCUCUACUUCCAGAACUAAUACCCGCCAAAGAUGACAACAGUUUUGUUUCAGUACAUCAGUGUGUAUUUUGUGUUGGACAAAAAAUCUGAUAAUAAGAUUGCUGUAUGAGCUAUUUGGUAUAAAGAUUUGAUUUUGAUAGAGAUUUAUGUAAUUUAUGAAUACAGCGCUUCAUUUUGCAGAAAAUAUGUGUAUUUUAGGUGUGAUGUUUUGUGAAUUGUAUUUAAUGUUUUGGAAAAAUGAGCCCUGUUUUCAAAAAAUGUGUGUUGACUAUUGAUAAAUAUUAUAAAUGGGCCUUGCUUCUGG
This is a long non-coding RNA of Erpetoichthys calabaricus (reedfish), 422 nucleotides long. RefSeq lists it as uncharacterized. The record is from RefSeq and is a predicted model, not a curated record. The transcript is spliced from 2 exons. Lineage: Eukaryota; Metazoa; Chordata; Cladistia; Polypteriformes; Polypteridae.